UUAGCUAUAGGUGUAACGCAUACGCAUGCGAAUGGUGCGAAUGCGUAUGCACAUGCGAAUGUGGCGAAUGAAUUCGCGAGUUUUACGCGACCCUAAACGCGACCAGGUGACUUUUAACGCGAGCGUAUCGCCAAACGCAAGGGAUAGUGAAUGGCAUACGCGACUGCGAAUCCUGCGAAUGUAUGUGCUACCAUUUGAAUUUUACGCGAGUGACUGCGACUUGCGUGCGGGACUGCGAACUGUACGGCCAACCGUGCAAUACAAAAGCUUUACAAUAGCAGUACACGAGCUGUACAAUAUGCAAAGUGCACCGCCGUUGCACAUGACCUGCAGGUUCACAGCUGUGAACCACAGCACUCACUGCUUUCUUCAUACAUUUGAACUAUCCCUGAAUGACAGGUACGAAUUCAUAGCAAAUCCUAACAUGACCGAUGCAACUCAGCCAGCAACUCUUACCAUGGAAAAGGGUCCAACAGUCUAACGUCAGAAAAAAUGGACACACAAAUGUUAAGCGCAUGUAAAUGUACCACAAUACAGCCACUAUUGUCUUCUUAUUAAAGCGCUCAAUCCUCGCCUCCGCUGAUGUCAUCUUCACGAACGACGGCAUAUAUCUGCAUAUCAAAGGAUCACAACAAAUCAUUGUUUAGGCAGGAAAACAUAGUUGUGAGCAUGUUACGUACAAUGACGGCUGUAGGUGUAACACCGGCGUAACGUGCCACGAAAUAAGGCAAUAAAAAGCAUUUAGUUAAUAGCCAUGGUCUUGCAACCAGAGGCUUCAUACCUCCGAACGGCCGCUUCGUGGCCUGCCACGUCCCGUUUGAGCCCGACUCUUGUUCAUAUCCUUACCACCAUCCUUGCGCUUGUCCUAUUCCUUGCGAUUCUCCUGCUCGUGUCCUUGGAAUGUAAAAUGACAAGGCAUAAUGUCAGUGUAUGCACCUGCAUGAUGGCCACUUACUGCCGGUGGCGUCUAGUCCCCCUUUUCCUGCUUUCCCCUGCUUGCCUGCGAAUGAAUGCUGCGCCAUUAUAAAGACAGAUUCUUGUUAAGCAGCCCCUCGCACAAAUGUGUCCGGUCGUACUUCGCGAAUAAAAGGUCCGUACAUCACGCCCCAAAAGCCAGGAGCGAAUUUCACCGCGCGGGUGCGCGCGUGCGAUUCGCAAAAUGCGCGUGUACAAGUGUAUAUAAAUUUUCUUAGAAGAAAGGCCGCGGUGCGUCAGCGCGGUGCGCAGGAAGGCAUGCUGGCCACAGGCGCACGCGGCAUGCAGGCUGGACUAUUGCAUGGCUGCUUUGCAGUAACUGAAAGCACCGAAAGCCUACGUCGUAGCUUGCAAGACUGGGCUCGUGAAACUGCCGCGGGAAGAGGAAGCGUCUGGCGAAGAGGCAGUUGUAUGCAGCACCUUGUUCAGAGUAAAGUCAAAUUACAAAGUUGCGCAAAGUAUAACAUACAUCAACUUAAUUAAACAUAAGAACAGAUAAGACGUGUAGAGCCUUGUCGGUGACAUGGACGCCGCUGUUGGCUUGGAACAGCUAUUUGCUGUGCAUAGGGACGUGCCCGCGUUAGCCGUGUUGCAACAGCUCAGGAUGGAUUUCAGCCAACAAAGCCUCANNNNNNNNNNNNNNNNNNNNNNNNNNNNNNNNNNNNNNNNNNNNNNNNNNCGCGAGCGUAUCGCCAAACGCAAGGGAUAGUGAAUGGCAUACGCGACUGCGAAUCCUGCGAAUGUAUGUGCUACCAUUUGAAUUUUACGCGAGUGACUGCGACUUGCGUGCGGGACUGCGAACUGUACGGCCAACCGUGCAAUACAAAAGCUUUACAAUAGCAGUACACGAGCUGUACAAUAUGCAAAGUGCACCGCCGUUGCACAUGACCUGCAGGUUCACAGCUGUGAACCACAGCACUCACUGCUUUCUUCAUACAUUUGAACUAUCCCUGAAUGACAGGUACGAAUUCAUAGCAAAUCCUAACAUGACCGAUGCAACUCAGCCAGCAACUCUUACCAUGGAAAAGGGUCCAACAGUCUAACGUCAGAAAAAAUGGACACACAAAUGUUAAGCGCAUGUAAAUGUACCACAAUACAGCCACUAUUGUCUUCUUAUUAAAGCGCUCAAUCCUCGCCUCCGCUGAUGUCAUCUUCACGAACGACGGCAUAUAUCUGCAUAUCAAAGGAUCACAACAAAUCAUUGUUUAGGCAGGAAAACAUAGUUGUGAGCAUGUUACGUACAAUGACGGCUGUAGGUGUAACACCGGCGUAACGUGCCACGAAAUAAGGCAAUAAAAAGCAUUUAGUUAAUAGCCAUGGUCUUGCAACCAGAGGCUUCAUACCUCCGAACGGCCGCUUCGUGGCCUGCCACGUCCCGUUUGAGCCCGACUCUUGUUCAUAUCCUUACCACCAUCCUUGCGCUUGUCCUAUUCCUUGCGAUUCUCCUGCUCGUGUCCUUGGAAUGUAAAAUGACAAGGCAUAAUGUCAGUGUAUGCACCUGCAUGAUGGCCACUUACUGCCGGUGGCGUCUAGUCCCCCUUUUCCUGCUUUCCCCUGCUUGCCUGCGAAUGAAUGCUGCGCCAUUAUAAAGACAGAUUCUUGUUAAGCAGCCCCUCGCACAAAUGUGUCCGGUCGUACUUCGCGAAUAAAAGGUCCGUACAUCACGCCCCAAAAGCCAGGAGCGAAUUUCACCGCGCGGGUGCGCGCGUGCGAUUCGCAAAAUGCGCGUGUACAAGUGUAUAUAAAUUUUCUUAGAAGAAAGGCCNNNNNNNNNNNNNNNNNNNNNNNNNNNNNNNNNNNNNNNNNNNNNNNNNNGGCUCGUGAAACUGCGCGGGAAGAGGUGCGUCUGGCGAAGAGGCAGUUGUAUGCAGCACCUUGUUCAGAGUAAAGUCAAAUUACAAAGUUGCGCAAGGUAUAACAUACAUCAACUUAAUUAAACAUAAGAACAGAUAAGACGUGUAGAGCCUUGUCGGUGACAUGGACGCCGCUGUUGGCUUGGAACAGCUAUUUGCUGUGCAUAGGGACGUGCCCGCGUUAGCCGUGUUGCAACAGCUCAGGAUGGAUUUCAGCCAACAAAGCCUCAAGAGCAACGUACGCAAUGCGCACAGAAACCAUUCUGUAACAUCGCCAACAUAUCCGGUACGCGGUGGCAGGCUUGCCGAGCACGAAAUGAACAGCCUCAAGAGCUGCUGCACAACCACCGGGAAUGUCUUCAGUUGGGCACGUGUAGUUUUGGUCGGCGGGGUCGAGCAACGUACGCAAUGCGCACAGAAACCAAGGUGCAGCGUUCUGUAACAUCGCCAACAUAUCCGGUACACGGUGGCAGGCUUGCCGAGCACGAAAUGAAGGGGGGGUCGCAUCUCACCAUUCAACUAAGUAUGCAUGUGCUCGGUUGAAUGCUCGGUAGCGUGCGAGUUUACCCCUAUCAGGAUGUUUGUUUGCAUAUCCCUCCAAGCGAGAGGGCUUGGACCUAUGCUGAUGUUCGUUCCAAGAAGUGAACUGAGGACUGAUGCUACGGUGAAAGAUUUGCACGUAAAUUCGCCCGUGCAAUAAAACGCCCUGUAACUCGCUUACGCUAAUCUCACAUUCCAAUAUGCCACUGCACUUUCACUCCAGCCUGGCCACAUUCUCUUCCUCGCAAACGUACUUGGGCACCUUACAAUCCAACACCAUACGUGCUUUGGAAACGCGGGCAGCUGCUUCACAUUUUUUUAUGAAGAUGCUAAUUCAUUAGGCUUUACCGUACACUGUCGUCAUUGGAGGAUCAGCGUGAGUAUAAGCAAUGCAUACGCGCUAAACAACAAAUUCAAGAUAAUCUUAUUAGUGCAAUGCGCGCAAUGAAUUACUGCCCUGAGGACACGGGCAGCACUGGGCCUUACGUUCAACUUACUCCCAAC
Molecule: long non-coding RNA, 3872 nt
Filed under: Volvox carteri
Lineage: Eukaryota; Viridiplantae; Chlorophyta; Chlorophyceae; Chlamydomonadales; Volvocaceae
Description: long non-coding RNA (VCAR_LNC001427)
Source: RNAcentral